CAGUCGCCGCGGUAAUACGUAGGGUGCGAGCGUUAAUCGGAAUUACUGGGCGUAAAGCGGGCGCAGACGGUUACUUAAGCAGGAUGUGAAAUCCCCGGGCUCAACCUGGGAAUUGCGUUCUGAACUGGGUGGCUAGAGUGCGUCAGAGGGGGGUAGAAUUCCACGUGUAGCAGUGAAAUGCGUAGAGAUGUGGAGGAAUACCGAUGGCGAAGGCAGCCCCCUGGGAUAGCACUGACGUUCAUGCCCGAAAGCGUGGGUAGCAAACAGGAUUAGAUACCCGUGUAGUCCCUGUCUCUUAUAC
Molecule: ribosomal RNA, 301 nt
Filed under: uncultured bacterium
Lineage: Bacteria
Description: partial 16S ribosomal RNA
Rfam family: Bacterial small subunit ribosomal RNA
Source: RNAcentral